ACAUUUUUUUUCCUCAAUACAUUAUUAUUGUAUCACCGUAUGCUUGGAUUGUGUUCGUAUGGAUUGGGGCUGUCACUUUCAGUGCUUCACAUCACAUGAUUAGGAGGUCCUUUCUCUCGCAUAGUUAUAUUGGAUCUUUCUUCAGGUAGUUUCAUUUUAUCGGUGAGCUGGAGGGGAUCACAGAGGAUAUUCUACUCGCACACGGUCCUCACGCAGAAGAGCCGCUGGGCACCGUGUGGAUCGCCGCGCACUUCGAGCUCUUCGAGCAACGUCAGAUUCUUUCGAGCAUCCGGUGGAGGCUUAAAAGUGCAGUGCUCUCUAUGGCCUCCGGCGCAAAUGCAGUGGAAUCAUGCGACACAAGGUCAAUCGUGUGAGGAAUUGGUCCCCAACUAGCAUCCCACAAGUUAAACAGAGAAGGGGAUUCUUUGGGUUUUGGUUCAGAACUCCCGUGUAGAUGAUUUCCCAGUAUUACGGGUUUCUGUCCAUAUUUCGGGAAUAUUUUAAACUCUGUUGACAUUCUCUUGUGUAACACUAACAAUG
Zea mays is the source of this 540-nucleotide long non-coding RNA. RefSeq lists it as uncharacterized. The record is from RefSeq and is a predicted model, not a curated record. The transcript is spliced from 3 exons. NCBI's taxonomy places the organism in Eukaryota, Viridiplantae, Streptophyta, Magnoliopsida, Poales, Poaceae.